UACGUAGGGUGCGAGCGUUGCCCGGAUUUAUUGGGCGUAAAGGGCGCGUAGGCGGGGCUUUAAGUCAGGGGUGAAAUCCUGGAGCUCAACUCCAGAACUGCCUUUGAUACUGAAGAUCUUGAGUUCGGGAGAGGUGAGUGGAACUGCGAGUGUAGAGGUGAAAUUCGUAGAUAUUCGCAAGAACACCAGUGGCGAAGGCGGCUCACUGGCCCGAUACUGACGCUGAGGCACGAAAGCGUGGGGAGCAAACAGG
This 253-nucleotide ribosomal RNA is filed under the name uncultured bacterium. RNAcentral's name for it is "partial 16S ribosomal RNA". It matches the Rfam family "Bacterial small subunit ribosomal RNA", at positions 524 to 776 of the family's 1533-position model. The record is from RNAcentral.